Long non-coding RNA from Gordionus sp. m RMFG-2023, 256 nucleotides. RefSeq lists it as uncharacterized. NCBI's taxonomy places the organism in Eukaryota, Metazoa, Nematomorpha, Gordioida, Chordodea, Parachordodidae. The transcript is spliced from 4 exons. The record is from RefSeq and is a predicted model, not a curated record.
UUUUUGGUUUUUUAAAGACAUUUGCUUAUUCAUUUCCGAUUGCAAUAACAUUUUCAGAUAUAUUUGGUUAUAUAGCUAGAGUAGAGGGAGCAUCUAUGCAACCUUCAUUGAAUCCUGACCCAAUAGAAAAACUCGCCUAGAAAUCCCAACCAAAAAUUGAUUAAACGCGUAAUAGGAAUUGAAAACGAAAUUAUACAAACACCACUUUACAAAAGCACGAUAAUAAAAAUACCAAUUGGUCAUUGUUGGGUCGAAG